This is a non-coding RNA of Streptomyces acidiscabies, 75 nucleotides long. It matches the Rfam family "ASpks TB sRNA". Lineage: Bacteria; Bacillati; Actinomycetota; Actinomycetes; Kitasatosporales; Streptomycetaceae. The record is from Rfam.
CUUCAGCGAUCCCAGCCACAGCGGACGAUCCUCCGGCCGGUCCUGCCCAUAAGUCGCCAGCAGCGCCUGGGCCUC